This 3740-nucleotide long non-coding RNA is filed under the name Homo sapiens (human). RNAcentral describes it as "HSALNT0165614". Lineage: Eukaryota; Metazoa; Chordata; Mammalia; Primates; Hominidae. The record is from RNAcentral.
CUUCACUGCAGUGAGUGAGCUCUCAUGAGGUCUAGUCAUUUGAAAGUGUGUGGCACCUCCCCCUCCAUGCUCUCUCUGCUCCUGCUUUUGCCAUGUGAUGUGCUUGCUCUCCCUUUGCCUUCCACCAUGAUUGGAAGCACCCUGAGGCCCCCUCAGAAGCAGAUGCCAUUUUGCUUCCUGGAUCGCCUGCAGAAUGGUGGGAUUGAACAGCAGCCUCUUUUAGUGGGCUUUCUUUACAAAACCCAACGACUCUACCUCUCUGCUUGCUAAGCAUGUGAACUUAUCAUCUAAUGGGGAAUGCAAGACUCACUCUCCAGUAAACCUAGAAAACUUAGAUAACCUUGCUUCUCAUCUAAUGAGACAGAUAUAUUCUUCUCUCCAGAAGACAGGUGUAACAUGGAUUCCAUGCCACUGGGCAACUGUUCAACUGCCCUGAAGAAACGGUGGGUGUUGUCUCCAUGUCUUCUGUGAAGAGCACUCUCUUAGCCUAAUGCCUCCUCAGGGACCUCGAACUUUGAUCUCUGAACUGCGUCCUCCCAGGGCCCAGAGGGAAGAUCAAUCACUCAGGCAUCUCCCAGGACACCAGGUCAAGUGGCAGAAGUUCAUCCUCUGGGAUUCUUUGUCCUCUGUAACAUCGAUUGUCAACUUGGCAAAGCCAGCUUGACAAUACCAGAGUCUUUGUGUACAAUCCAUAGACAGCACUGGGAAGAGCAAACCAUGAGAGGCCAGCACUAAACCCUCAGGGUAGCUAAAGAGGAAGCAUGGUAAGACCUCAUUCUGCAGCAGAAAAAAACAAACAAUCUGCUCUACAUGUACCCAGCAUCAUGUGAACAUGAACCAGUUGAGUAUCGCCUGGGCCUCUGUUUGCUCAUCUGUAAAUGGGCUGGUUGCCCCUUCUUGCAAUGGACAAGCCUGCAUCCGCAGAGUUCGAGUCCUGUGUCUUGUGUCCUUGCCACAUCCUCCUCUGGGAGCACUCCGCAAAAGCUGUUAUUGUUAGCCCCCUUCUCUCAACCUCCCCAAUCAUUGCACACUCAUAGACAAAGGACAAUCUGAUCUUUAUGUGACCAAGAUAAAAUUUGAUGGGAGAUCAGCAAGACAUAAAGGAAGGUUCUUAAAUGACAUAUUUAUCCCAACAUUGUUCUGGGAAGAAAAGUAUCCAUUGUAAAAACUAAACAUGUCUGAUUAAAUGAUAAAUGCAGGAAGCUGACAGUGGAACAGUCACUAUGCCAAAGAUUCUCAGAUUAUCAAAGCCCUGUCAGGCCACUUCAGAAAAGGGGAUUCCCAAUAUGAGUUCACAAUACUUUGACAUCUGAAGAGGUCAGUUAGCCUAAGGCAAAGGAACUGCAAUGUGCCAGCCUAAAUGUUCUGCUUCUCACUCUCACAGAAAGAAGGAAAACUGGAAAAUGGGAAUCAGCAGUUGUGGAGAGCGCAGACUUUCCUAAGUAUUCUGGGGAUACUAGUAGGAGUUAGAGGAGAGAGUAUGUAUUUUGUAGCCAAAUAGAAGUCUUUUUGGGACAUGCUGGAUUAAGAACAUUGCUAGACUUUUGGUAUAUGACACAUGAUUUAUUCCUUAUCCCAACACUUCAAAUUUUAGGUCAACAUAUCUCUCUUUCUCUGUAGUGGGAGAUGAAUUCAAUGACUUACUCAAGGUCAUACAGUUAGUUAUGUCAGAACUUGAAUUUUAUCUCAAGUCAGCUUUAUUCCCAUACUGGCAGUUUUCUGUAUGAUUGUGUUCAUUAUACAAGAAAGGAGCAGGAAGUUCUUUGGAAGGAUAUUUUGAGAUUUAAAAAUAAAGCUUUCCAAUAAAGACUAUGGUCAUCAGAAUAAAACCUGCACAUGUAUGGGCAGUAUGCAGUUGAUCAUGUUCUCCACCUUCAAGUCUAUGCAAAAUCAACAUCCCAAGGACAGGCAUAAGCCACAUUCUCUUUCACUAGCUAGUACAGAGCCAGAGCAAUUGAUAAGAACCGUUGUCUUUGUUGAGCAUAGAGGUAUCAUUAGACUAAAGAAAUGUCAUUGGAAAUUCUUUCCAAUGUGGCCAGUCUCAGUCCAAGCCCUUUCCUAGCUGGGUAUAAGGAUUAGUCAGGUGGCAGAGCUACUCCUUUCUGAAGCCAGAAGGAGCAAGUCCAACAAGGUCUCGGGCCUUCGCAUCUGGAAGUGGGGUACCCAGGCUGAUUUUUUUGAAACAGGAAAAGUUGUGUCCUGUCGUUCCCUUUCCCUGGGAAACUUACCCAACUUUCCAGCCAAGCUCCUCACUCUCACAGUCUGUGCUGUAUCUCAAGUGUGCAUCCCUGGACACAAACCUAGUUCUGCACAUCUGCACUCUUAAAUGUUAAACUCAUACCCUGCUCCCUUAGAAUUACACCCCUCACACCAUCUCCACAGAAAAUGGUGUGUGCCAAGAAAUGGACUUAAACUUUUUCAUAACCAUCAGUCUUCUUUUGUUGUGAUUUUGGUCUUCCUGAACUUGAAGGCCUGAAAAUUCUCACUCCUCUUUCUGGCUUUGUGUUUCUCCUUUUCCACGGUUUGUGUAGCUGUUUUGCAACCCUCACCUGAAUGCAGCUGCUUUUGGGGAUUCUGAAACCACAAAUAAUCACUAUCUUUUCUCUGGACAUGACACCUCAGAACUAAUACAGUUGAAAGCUCUCAAAACAAAUUAUAAUAUUGAGACAGGGCUUCUCUGAAAACAGUUUGAGCCAUGUUCCUAUAAGUGUAUGUCUGUAUGUAAUCCAUUGUGUCUUCAAGCCUCUGGAAGACAAUGGCCUGCCACUCAGGAAAGAUGCCAAAAUGCAGAGGAUUUCUGCAAAUCCUUCCCUUCAGAGAGGGACCAAAGGCCCUAGGCUCUCAGGGAUGAGAGAAGGAAGGAAGCAGGACUUCUGGGAGGUACCAUUCCUGAGAGGUGGCUUGGCUGCAGGUCACAGAGGCCCCAGGGUCCUGUCUAUGAGUGGCUAGAGGGAGCAGCUCCCUGUCUCAGCCUUUGCACAGAAAAGGGGUGUAAAUGACAGUAGCAUUAGGUGACAGGGGGCAAAGUCAUCCUACAACUGCUUGUUAUUUGGAAAUUAGUGCUAUUUUCUAAUAUGGAGAAAUUACAGGUUGCUAAUGUGAUCCUGAUGGAAACAAAAUACAGUGGCUGAUCCCUUCUGUCAUUCAAACCCUGGUGUCAGUAGGGAAUCCCCAUGCUGAGGGUUAAAUUAUGAUGGUUUGAAAGGGGAAACUUUAAAGCAUAAAUAUCAGGUAUUUGUGUUUUACUUUGUGGAAAUUCUUGACCAUUUAGCUAUUUGGUAAUUGCUGUGCACAGCUGAGUAAAUAUACAGUGAGUUUCAAAUCAUUCAAUACUAAGAAAAUGGAACUUUCUCUCUCUGUCAAUAUAUAUAUGUAUAUGUGUGUCUUUGAGUGUGUAUGUGUGUGUGUGUAUGUAUAUAAUUUUGACAACAAGGUUUUCUGUACUUUUGAGCUAUAACUGGAGGUCAAAUGGAAUGUUGUGAAAUGUCAGAACUGCCAAAUAUUCUAUUUAAUUUAAAUUCAUAAAUGUUGGCCAAAGUGAUGUGAAAGAAGAAACUCAAUCUCUCUGAGCACUAGAUUACUGCCCCCAUACCCUGGCCCUUUCUUCCCUGAGAAGGUUAGUCAUCUCUGUAAAUAAAUACUGCCAUUUCCUUCCUUACUCCUUUCUACCAGCCAUCUCCAGGGCAGGGAUGUGGCUUGGCAGGGAAUAUGGGGGGAGAGUGACCCAGGACACACUGAAC